Non-coding RNA from Triplophysa rosa, 77 nucleotides. Lineage: Eukaryota; Metazoa; Chordata; Actinopteri; Cypriniformes; Nemacheilidae. The record is from the annotation of a RefSeq genome assembly.
GGCCUUAGCUCAGUCGGUAAAGCAUCAGACUUUUAAUCUGAGGGUCCAGGGUUCAAGUCCCUGUGAUGGGAAAGUCA